CCUACGGGAGGCAGCAGUGGGGAAUAUUGCACAAUGGGGGGAACCCUGAUGCAGCGACGCCGCGUGAGUGAAGAAGUAUUUCGGUAUGUAAAGCUCUAUCAGCAGGGAAGAAAAUGACGGUACCUGACUAAGAAGCCCCGGCUAACUACGUGCCAGCAGCCGCGGUAAUACGUAGGGGGCAAGCGUUAUCCGGAUUUACUGGGUGUAAAGGGAGCGUAGACGGCAGCGCAAGUCUGAAGUGAAAUCCCAUGGCAUAACCCAGGAACUGCUUUGGAAACUGUGGAGCUGGAGUGCAGGAGAGGUAAGCGGAAUUCCUAGUGUAGCGGUGAAAUGCGUAGAUAUUAGGAGGAACACCAGUGGCGAAGGCGGCUUACUGGACUGUAACUGACGUUGAGGCUCGAAAGCGUGGGGAGCAAACAGGAUUAGAUACCCGAGUAGUC
Molecule: ribosomal RNA, 440 nt
Filed under: uncultured bacterium
Lineage: Bacteria
Description: partial 16S ribosomal RNA
Rfam family: Bacterial small subunit ribosomal RNA
Source: RNAcentral